RNAcentral lists this ribosomal RNA (903 nucleotides) under uncultured bacterium. RNAcentral describes it as "bacterial SSU rRNA". It matches the Rfam family "Bacterial small subunit ribosomal RNA", at positions 503 to 1384 of the family's 1533-position model. The record is from RNAcentral.
UUGUGCCAGCCGCCGCGUAAUACGUAGGGUGCGAGCGUUGUCCGGAAUUAUUGGGCGUAAAGGGCUCGUAGGCGGUUUGUCGCGUCGGGAGUGAAAACUCAGGGCUUAACCCUGAGCCUGCUUCCGAUACGGGCAGACUAGAGGUAUGCAGGGGAGAACGGAAUUCCUGGUGUAGCGGUGAAAUGCGCAGAUAUCAGGAGGAACACCGGUGGCGAAGGCGGUUCUCUGGGCAUUACCUGACGCUGAGGAGCGAAAGUGUGGGGAGCGAACAGGGUUAGAUACCCUGGUAGUCCACACCGUAAACGUUGGGCGCUAGGUGUGGGACUCAUUCCACGAGUUCCGUGCCGCAGCUAACGCAUUAAGCGCCCCGCCUGGGGAGUACGGCCGCAAGUCUAAAACUCAAAGGAAUUGACGGGGGCCCGCACAAGGGGCGGGAGCAUGCGGGAUUAUUCCGAUGCAACGCGAAGAAACUUUAACCUUGGGUUUGACAUAUGCGAGAACCCUCUAAGAGAUAAGAGGGCUUCUUUUGGACACCUCGCAUACAGGGUGGGUGCAUGGGCUGUCGCCAGCCUCGUGUCGUGAGAUGGUUGGGGUUAAGUCCCCGCGAACGAGCGCAAACCCUCGUCUAUAUGGUGCCAAGCACGGUCAUGGGUGGGGACUUCAUAAGAGACUGGCCGGGGUCCACCUCGGGAGGAAAGGUGGGGGAAUGACGUCAAGUCAUCAUGCCCCCUUAAUGUCCAGGGGCUUCACGCAUGCUACAAUGGCCGGUACAAAGGCUGCGGAAUCGCAAGGAUGGAGCGAAUCCAAAAGCGUCUCAGUUCGAUGGCCUGCAACUCGACCCAUGAGUUCGAGUCGCUAGUAUCGCAGAUCAGCACGCUGCGUGAAAUACGUUCCGGGCCUGGA